This 16-nucleotide ribosomal RNA is filed under the name Lentinus tigrinus. RNAcentral's name for it is "partial 28S ribosomal RNA". The record is from RNAcentral. Lineage: Eukaryota; Fungi; Basidiomycota; Agaricomycetes; Polyporales; Polyporaceae.
GAACUCUGACCUCAAA